Molecule: long non-coding RNA, 8710 nt
Organism: Prionailurus viverrinus (fishing cat)
Lineage: Eukaryota; Metazoa; Chordata; Mammalia; Carnivora; Felidae
Exons: 2
Source: RefSeq, a predicted model, not a curated record
AUUUUGGGGUUUCCACGGAGGCCUCCUCCCACAGGCAUGAUGGAUCAAGUCAUUGGCCAUUGGCGGUGAAGUCAACCUCCAGCCUCCUCCCCACCCUCUGGUCACAUGGUUGGCCUCUCCCGGCAGCCAGCCCUGUCCGGGGGCUGCCUUCGGGCCUUCCUCCUGUUGCCUCCUGACCGUAAGCCCAGGUGUGGCGGACAAGGGGAAACCUCCCUCAGCUUCCCUGGAACUGCGGCCCUCGGUCUCUCCAGAUGCCAUCCGGGUCGAGGCAGUUCGAACCGGGUGCCUCGCUCCCACCACAGACCUGGAUCCCCGCGUCGCUGCUCGAGGGGACCCACCAAGAAGACCCUUGCUGGCCCGAGACGAGAGUAAAGAACCGAACUCUGUUGUGUUGAGACCCUCAGACCGGAGCCUGUUUGUUAGUGCAGCCCGGCCUCGCUCGUCCUGACUCACGCGAGGUCCCACCUUAGACAGAGCUGUCCCUGUGAAGGCCUGUCCUGCCCCGGCUGGAGUCAGGCGCCUCCCCUGGGCUCCCCCAGCACUUGGCCUUUCACAUCGUGUCCCACCUUGCGAGAGUCGCCGCGGCACGGGGGCCACCUCUCGGCCUGGGUGAGAGUGCCCCGGGGGCAGGUGCACGCCUACCUUGCCGCCCCCCCCCCCCCCCCCCCGCCCCGUCCCCAUCCCCAGGCGCGGUGCGGAACCUGGCUUCCCUAGGGCUCAGGCCCUGCCUGUUGAGCCUGUUGAACGACCAGGCUUGGCAGGGACCCAGCGGUCCCCCGUGUGCACAUUCUUCUUUCAGAGGAAUGUCCCGGCCCAGGUUCCCACAGAAGCGUCCGGACCAGGGGGAGUGACUCUUUGCGCUCUGGCUGUUGCUCUACUGUAGAAAAAGCCAUUCUUUUGAACUCUGCUGAGGGAGCCCACAAACGGGGCGUAACUGAGACACAGGAAUCCCGGGGUCAGUGGGCAAUCACUCAGGCGGGGGCUCCCCUCCCCCGGCGGGUCAGCAAAAAAUGUCAAGUGAAACCCAUUCUAAUUAAAGGGAACAUUAAGCAGGGCCCUUUUAAACACGGCUAUUUCCUAAAGUCCUCUUUUUUGCUACCAAUGAAUUCCCCUGAGGAAGGGACAGGGGUGAGGGGGUGAGCGCCCGAGACUCUCACCGCCCCGACCCACUCGCCCUGCCUUUAUCUAGAACCGUAUCUCAGUGGCGAGUUAAAGACUUCAGGGAAACUUCUCCGGGCCCUAAUUCACCAGCUGCUUCAUGAGAACACAGUCUCUCAGGCUCCACCCCUUUCGGGGAGGAAGAUGAUAAGCCAGGGGACCCCCACAAGGCGGCUGGGAUGUGACCUGCCCCGGAGACCGUGCGAUUGGUCUGAAAACAGCUCGGACCCAUAGGUGCCCUUGGCUCAACAACUAUUAAUUGAGCGACUUCUGUGUGCCGGGCACUGUCCUAGCUAGACCUUGGGACAGAGCGUCAAACGGGACUGCAACUGCCCUCCAGCACACGGCUUGCCCUUGACUUUGUCUCCGACGAUGUGAUACAUGCAGUCUUGUGUUCCUGCGAGCGUGUGCAUGUGCAUGCGUGGAAGAGGGGGAGGGAGGGAGAGAGAGAUGUUUAUCUCCUCCCCCCUCAAUGCUGGCUUCUACAGUUUUCCAAGCGUCUUGGCCAACGGCGGCCAGAGGAGGGGGAGGGCAGUCAGGCCCUCGCGGGCUUCACGACCGAGCCGGGUGUCCGUCUCACGGGGAAGGGUGGACCAGACCCCGAAGAUCACUCAUCUGAGUACUGGGUUGAGGGUUCUACAAUCAAUUAGUCAUGUCUGCCACGAGUGCAGACAUGGAGAGCGGUGGCCUGUGUGCUCUGCGUGUGUUGACCUUGGUCUAAAAUCGAAAUUGAAGUCCAUUUGAGGAAACAUCAUGAAAGCUACUGGACAAAGCCAUCGAACUUUCUCAUCUCAAGGGCCAGGAGGACCCUGUGACAUGUCCUGAAACCCACAGUGCUCGGGGUCACCUGAAGGACUCAGACACCCGUGCGGGCCAGACUCACACCAGGUGAGCCCACGCCCACCAGCUUCGUGGCUGCUGUUCUCGCUCUCCGGGGGCUCCCCGGUGCCCCGUCUGGCCGCUUGCCGGGAAAGUAGCGCCUUCAGUGAAAUAAUCAUCACGGUCAGUCUUGGAAGGGACAGAAGCUGAGACAGGAGUCCCAUCCAGAGCAAGGCCCGGGGCUCCUUCCCAAAGGAGGCGGCCCACCUUUCAUGCUGAACAGCUUGUGGUUCCUUUCACGCCACGUCUGUUGUAGCCUCUGUACCUUUGCCUGGGCUGUUCCCUCUCUUCCUGGCAUGCUUUCCCUCGCUGCCUCUCUGACCGGCCCGCGCUUGCCACCGAUCAUGCCACGGUGUGAACGACCUGUAUGCUGGGGUCUGUCUCCUCUGCUAGGUUCCAGAGGCCCAGAGGACUCCGCCCCGGGUGUGGCCCACGACGGGCGCCCUGGAAAUAUCACGGAACGACCGUGUCUCGACUUUGUGUCUCACGCCAGCCGUCACUUCUGAGUCUGCCUCUCUCGGAGCUCAUGGAAACAGCAGGUUGGUCCAUUUUGGUCUCCCGUGCAGGCGUCGAGGUCACACUCCGUCCUCGGAUGCAGAACAGGAGGCCCUCUGAAGUUUUCUACAAUUUGCCUUUUAUUGCUGUGUAAGAAACACCUCCUUAAGCUCUCUGAAAGGUUCUUGAGGACAUGAAUGUGUGGUCUCUUCCCCUGGAGAUGGGCAGGGUCCCCGUUUGCCCCAGGAGCAGGCAGGGGGAGGGGCCCCAGGCCAGCUUCUCUAUUGCCCUUUGGGAGUGAGAGUCCCACUGGGGCUCCAGCCAGGGAGGCAGAGAAGCCAGAGUCACUGUUACCGCUGCAGGACUUUGCCUGGGCACUUCGGUCACCCGCGUAAAACUCACGAGGCAAAUGUUGUUAAUAUUGGCACGCUGUUCCCGUCCACGGUUUCUCAAGCACCCGACCAAGCUCCAGGCCCUGAGCAAAGCACCACUGGACGCAUUCCCUGUUUUACCCGGCCGCGGCUCACCGGCGUCACCUUUGCUGACGAGGAACAGGAGGCCCCGAGCGGCAGUUCGCGGUCUCCCCGCCUCCCGCCGCGGCUUGGGCCUGCCCCGUGGCACCUGCUGAUUCUGCACGCGGGAGCUCUCCGCCCUGACCCCGGGGACGACUCAGGCCUCGGUAACUCUCCAAGGAAGGCCUCCCUGACUGGGACCCCCAGAUGAAUGGUACAGAUGAAUGCGUAUCUGUACCGGUUACCCAUGCUGCGUUCCAGGUCACCCCACGCUUAGGGGCUUGAAACGACAUUCUACUGGCUCACAGCUCUGUGGGUCGGCAGUCAGGCACGGCUGAGCUGGGUCCUCCGCUCGGGGUCUCACGUGGCCGACAGCAUGGCACCAGGCAGGCCGCGUUCCUUUUGGAGGCUCUGGGGGAGAACCCAGUUGCGCGCUCAUUGAGGAGGUUGUCCGGAUUCAGGUCCUUGCCGCUGUAGGACUGAUGUCCCCGUUUCCUUCCGGGAGAAAACCCUCCGCUUUUAAAAGCAGACCGACCGGCCCACCUGGCUAAUGAAUGUCCCCACAUCCCAGCGAACGAGUUAAUUGGGCCAUCCUACCCAACCUCACCAUGGGAGCGAAAGCCAUCGUGUUCACAGUCUCAGGGGUAACAUUGCCGUAGGCGUGGACACAGGGUGGGGGAACCUGGGGACCCAGGACUCCAGCGGCCACACUGUGAGCGAUUAACCGGCACCGGGCUGGUGUGCUCUCGGCACGGGUGCACACUUUCCCGAGGAGGCCGCGGUGUGCGGGGCUGGGGUGGGGGUACGUGUGGAUUCAGACAGGCCUCCGUUGGGAUCGUGGUUCCAUCCCCCGUGGCGGAAGGCUUUAGGGAAGCAGCUCAUCUGUAAAACGGAGCGGGGGCUUCUGGUGGGGCAUGUGGAAAGCUGAAUGAGGCUGUGCAGAUCAGCCUUUUGGCAGAGGCCGGCCCUCAGGCACGGCUUUUUAACAGUGCGGUCUCCUGGUGGGCCAGUUGUUCACGAGGGGAAGGAGGUCAGGGCCGUGCCUGAUCUAUUGGAGCAGGAACAUUGGGUGGGGGGUGGCGGCCGAUCGAACAUUCCUAUGCCCUCCGCGGCGGCGUGGUGAUCCCUCCUCGGCUGUGCCCUGAGUGGCACCUGCAGCCCCACGGACAGCCCCACACUUCAGGGCCCUCAGCUUCCUCCCUGUGUCUUCCUGGGGCAGAGCCGCCAGACUGAUAAUUGAUGGGGGGGCGGUGUGGCCCUUUGGGAGUGGACAAAGAGUAUCAGAUGAGGGGGCCACAAAGACAGGCUCUUCCGUGACCAAAGGCAGGGGAGGGCGGCGGUCAGCGAGCAGGUUCUGGCACGACUGUCCGCGUGUGCCUCUCAGCUUCGCUGCGAACGAGUCAUGUGACCAAACCUCUCUGUGCUGCACUGUCCUUCUCUGAAAAUGGAGAGGAGAGCAGACCUAGCUCCCAAGGUUGUCCCGAGGGUGAGACGAAAUAGUGCGGGAAGGCAGCUGGCACGUAGUGACUGCUCAACCAAAGUUACCUUCGCCAUUAUCUUCCUUUUCCUCGGCAUCAUCACCACCAUCACCGUCAAGACCACCACCGCCAUCAUUACCUCUUCGUUGGCUUAACAGGUGGGCUCCUGCUAUGAGUGUCACAAGCAGAGGGAGAGACUCAAGCAGGGAUGGGUCAGAUUUCUCUGACCCACCACCUCUCAGCAGGGCCCAGCUGGACUGUCUGGGGAGGGGUGGUGGUCACAGAAGCAGACGCUGGCCCAAAGGCACGAACUUUGUCCACCCAAACUGGGCUCUGGUGGGCCUGAGUCGAGGGUCGGUGUUGGGGGUGCUGGAAGAAUCUAGGAAUGUUGGAGACUUGACAGAAGGCAAGAGGGGGAUGAGGCGUCUCCCGGCAUCUCCCCCCUUCCACCUGCUUCUCUAAAGGGGCUCUUUGGAGAGAAGCUGCAAGGCAGGAUUCCGGAGGACUCCUGCUUCUCUUGGCCUCAGUUGUCCCAUCUCUAAAAUGGGGACACGCCCGGCCGCACCAGGACUCAGGGAGACACUGCUGAAGGCCUGACCUGAGCAGUCAGUAGGUGGCGCUGGUGGGCACGAAAGCCACUCUACGGCUGGCGGCGGGGAGCGGGUGGGAGGCGAGAGAUCCUGCUGUGGCUCUAGGGCAGCUGUCUGUGGGAGUAGCCCCAGCAAGGCGCUGGUGAGGACUCUCACGACUCCUGGGGGCAGAGGAACCGGCUGGUGUUGGAGGCUCUCCCCUUUGGUGGAGCUGCAGACCCUGCCUUGGGUACCUUAGCUGUCUACGGACAUCUCCAGCUCAGCGUGCACCAGACAAGGGGUAAUACCCCUCCGGAGUCACCCCUAGCUCCCCGCCCCACUGGGUGGGGCCUCCUCCCAGGUGUGUUGGAGUGACAUCCCAUGCCCUUGGCCCUUACCUGGACCCUGUCCCUGAGCCCUGCCGGGGUCACCUUUAAACCCCCCACCAUCGGCCCCCUGGGACCCGUGUGGCCGCGGUAAUCUCCUCUCCCACUCCUUCUAACCUCCGCCUAACAUCUUAAAGAAGCUUCCAAAGUGUCACGUAAGGCCCUGCAUCUGCAACUUGCAGGGUCCCUGGCCCUCAGGAUAAAGUGCAAGGCCCUGAUAAGGCCCACGAGGCCCUGAAGUGUGGGGCUGGCUCAUGGCUGCAGCCCUGUCCUUAGUCACGGGCUGGCUUGCCCCAGUGUCCAGGCAGCAUGGUGUCCCUCCCUCUGGGUCUUGCUCAGGCCUUUCCUACUUUUCCUGUCCAUCUGCCUCGUGGGUAGGCUGUGUGGGUUCCGGGAGUCACCGCUUGUCUUGUUUGUGGGGUGCCUGGCAUGUAUGAAGCCCUCAAGAAUGUUCUGUGUUCGUAUGCCUACGAUUACUCUUGCCCUCACCCAGCAUGGGAUGAUGAAGUAGGUGGAUACACAGAUGAAUGAAUGAAUGAAUGAAUGAAUGAAUGACACUCCCCUGCAUCUUCCACUGGCCGCCCGGAUGGUUCCGAGCUCACGGAAGGAGGUGGCCGUGUGGGUCCCCUGCAGGUGGGACCCAGGCCAGCUGGGGAGUCCCGACUCCCCCGGGGGGGAGGGGGCAGGUCUUAGGUUGGCCAUGGCUCCGCCCUGACCUUAACCCCAGAGGAAGGAAGGAAUGGUGGCCGGGCAGAACGCCCCGCCUACCUGGGCAGCCCCGCCCUUCCGUUUUCUUUCCGUUUCAUUCUGUUGCAAAGGAGGAAAGGCGACCAGGCGGAUGGGGCUGCAGGCACAGACGGACAGGUAUUUUGCAAGUGAGACCAACGGACUUCUGGCGAGGGGCUGGGGCCACUGUUGAGCCGUCUAGGCCCUCCUGGGUGGGCGCCUCCCAACCCAAGAUAGUGCCAAGGCUAGAUCACUCAGGCGCGGCCUCCAGCCCUCCCACCCAGGAUGGCCCACCUGGCUUCUGCCUGGUCAUUGCCUCAUGCAGAGGUAAGGAUGGUCUCGAAGCCCCAGAACCGGGGCUGGAGCCCCUGGUGUCUGGGUCAACCUGUGCCACUUAUAAACUCAGGCCGAGACGCCCGCUCUCUCUGAGAAGGGGAGGUUGGGGCUCUGGGGUCAGGGGGAGGGACCCCGCUUCCAUGGAUUUGGGCAGGGCACUCUCUACCUCUCAGGUUCUGGGCCUGGGAAAGGGAGGUGUGAAGGGACCCAAGGCCACGGGGGCCUGCAUAGGAGCCAGCCUCCCACGUGGGGUGUAAAAAUCAUGACAUAUUCAGAAGCUGGAAUGUUCUUCUCAGGCUGUAAAUCAAGCGUGGUCACAUCACCUCUCCGGCCACCAAGACCUCUCCAGGCACUUGGGACAGUUGUCCACCCCACGAGGCCCUGGAGGUCUGGCCCGGCCUGCCCAGGUCUAUCCCGCUCAUACGUGGUCCCGGCUCCGGAACUCUGGUCUCGCUGGCCCAGCUCCCGAGCUCCCCUUCACGCAUGCUGUUCCCUCUGCCUGGAACUACGCUGUUCCCUCUGCCCAGAACAGUCCUACCUCCUGACCCCAUACCUUCUCUCCUUAGCCCGCUGAGUAGCCGCCCCACGUCCGCCUCCUCUGGGGCUCUGCACACCUGUCGUCGCGGCUCGGGUGUGUGAUCGUGUUUCUCUCGCCUCGUCCCUGUGCCCCUGGAGGACAGGUUCUGGCACCCCUUAUCCACUGGGCGGGAGGCACAUGUUCCACGGAGAGAUCCAAAGCUGGGGCCCUGCUGCCUCCCCCUUCCCUCCCGGCCCGGCCGGCCCUGGGAGGAGACGUUUGUUUCCCUGGGGAAAAGGGCCUCUCAGGACGGCAUCUGCCACUGGAGAAACCGGGAGGAAGAGGGAGUCCAGGCAGACGUGGGCUCCGGGCCUCCGGAGGGCCACGGAUGCCACAGGCGUCCCUCGUGGAGUCAGCGACAAGGGGUUCUGGGAAACGGCUCUCCCUGAGAGAUCGGCCGUUCAAGUGGACGUUGAAAGAGCCAUUAGCUUGAGGCGCCAGGAGACGCGCAGGAAACAGGUUCUGGACGGAAAUGACACGGUCCCGUGUGGGUGCGCGCUCAGCCCCUUGGUGGGGUCUCCUGGCGGUGCAGGGGGGAGUCUGUACCACCCCGAAUGCCCUCUGGCUGUGCAGUGGGGAGAAGGGCAGGCCUGACAGCACUCCCCCCCCCCCCGCCACGACCCCCUCCAACCUGGGACCCUGUCCUGGGGGUGCCGGGCACCUGUGAGCGUUUCCAUUCUGGGGCCUGGGGACGUGAGUUAGGACCACCGGCCAGGGUGGGGUCCCCGAGCUCCCACCUGCAACCCCCAAGUCCUUCCACUGCGGACGCCCUGCCCGUAAGUGGUUUGCACGCCUCACUUAACAGUCGGGACCACUCCCCGAGGAGCUAGCUGCUCUAAAUGGCCAUUUAACAGAUGAGGAAAGUGAGGCCCAGAGACGCGCAACAAGAGGCUUGGGAGAAGCUUUCCUCCCUCUCCCAAUCUCUCCCUGCCCCUCCUUUACUAGACAAGACUUUCCUGCGCAGGCGUGGGCCGGGUGUUGGGAAUACCAAGAGGGCCCUCCUGGGCCUCUCCCCGGCUGGUUACCAGCAGGGGACAAGCAGGUCAGUCCCCAGGCCAGCUCUGGCACGCUGGCGGUGGCCCCUGGAGAGCUGUGCGGGAUGGGGCUGGGAGGCAGGGUCUGGCUCGGGGAAAGUGUGCUGCGAUCCAUUAGUGAUGUCUGCCGUGGUGCACGUAGGCCUGGGGAGAAGGGGCGGGAUUUGCUGUCCACCCCUGGAGCCCAGACCCGCAGAGCCUCUAAAACCCCUCCCGACAGCGCCAGGGCUCUUCUCUCCAUUUUCAGAUGAGAAGGCAGGUUCUGUGUGAGGUCUUACGGCUCAACCAUGGCCGAGCUGGGACCUGAGCCCGGGCCCCGAGGGUCCCCGCUUUCCUCGGCCUCCUGCUACUGUGCCCUGGCUGCCUCUUUGCUUCGGCUGCUAGGGAGCUCCGAGGACAGCUUGGGGCCUGCCCUCAGGUGCCCCCUCAGCCUGGGGUUUGGAGCAUCUCUCUUGCCCCCUCCUCUGGGCUCUUUAUCCUCCCUGCCGGGCCUCCCGUGGAGCGGGCCGGACAUAAGUUAUCAACUAUAAAUAAAACCAAGACUUCCGUUCUGGCCCUCA